UACGUAGGUGGCAAGCGUUGACCGGAUUUACUGGGCGUAAAGAGCGCGCAGGCGGUCGUUCAAGUCGCGUGUGAAAGCCCCCGGCUCAACUGGGGAGGGUCACGCGAUACUGAUCGACUCGAAGGCAGGAGAGGGUAGUGGAAUUCCCGGUGUAGUGGUGAAAUGCGUAGAUAUCGGGAGGAACACCAGUGGCGAAGGCGACUACCUGGCCUGUUUCUUGACGCUGAGGCGCGAAAGCUAGGGGAGCAAACGGG
Molecule: ribosomal RNA, 254 nt
Filed under: uncultured bacterium
Lineage: Bacteria
Description: partial 16S ribosomal RNA
Rfam family: Bacterial small subunit ribosomal RNA
Source: RNAcentral